CAAGAGAUAGUUUAGAUUCCAGAAU
Molecule: transfer RNA, 25 nt
Filed under: Andrias davidianus (Chinese giant salamander)
Lineage: Eukaryota; Metazoa; Chordata; Amphibia; Caudata; Cryptobranchidae
Description: partial tRNA-Pro
Source: RNAcentral